This 253-nucleotide ribosomal RNA is filed under the name uncultured bacterium. RNAcentral's name for it is "partial 16S ribosomal RNA". It matches the Rfam family "Bacterial small subunit ribosomal RNA", at positions 524 to 776 of the family's 1533-position model. The record is from RNAcentral.
UACGUAGGGUGCAAGCGUUGUCCGGAAUUAUUGGGCGUAAAGGGCUCGUAGGCGGUCUGUUGCGUCGGUAGUGAAAACUCAGGGCUUAACCCUGAGCCUGCUUCCGAUACGGGCAGACUAGAGGUAUGCAGGGGAGAACGGAAUUCCUGGUGUAGCGGUGAAAUGCGCAGAUAUCAGGAGGAACACCGGUGGCGAAGGCGGUUCUCUGGGCAUUACCUGACGCUGAGGCGCGAAAGCUAGGGGAGCAAACGGG